RNAcentral lists this ribosomal RNA (227 nucleotides) under Glomus sp. (unid). Lineage: Eukaryota; Fungi; Glomeromycota; Glomeromycetes; Glomerales; Glomeraceae. The record is from RNAcentral.
CAGUCGUACCGACGAGAAUUCAACCCUUCGAGUGCUAACUUGUAGACGUGCGUGAGCAUUAAAACCUCGCUGUUUGCAACGUUUGUAUUUUUUGGGUGUACUUUUUCGUAUGGUAGGCCAAUGUCAGUUUUGAUCACCAUAAAAUGAUUGGAAGAAUGUAGCUUCGAUCUCGUAUUGAAGUGUUAUAGCCUUCGGUAGAUGUGGUUUUUCGAGAUUGAGGAUUGCAA